RNAcentral lists this ribosomal RNA (490 nucleotides) under uncultured bacterium. RNAcentral's name for it is "partial 16S ribosomal RNA". It matches the Rfam family "Bacterial small subunit ribosomal RNA", at positions 30 to 507 of the family's 1533-position model. The record is from RNAcentral.
AUUGAACGCUGGCGGCAGGCCUAACACAUGCAAGUCGAACGGUAACAGGAAACAGCUUGCUGUUUCGCUGACGAGUGGCGGACGGGUGAGUAAUGUCUGGGAAACUGCCUGAUGGAGGGGGAUAACUACUGGAAACGGUAGCUAAUACCGCAUAACGUCGCAAGACCAAAGAGGGGGACCUUCGGGCCUCUUGCCAUCGGAUGUGCCCAGAUGGGAUUAGCUAGUAGGUGGGGUAACGGCUCACCUAGGCGACGAUCCCUAGCUGGUCUGAGAGGAUGACCAGCCACACUGGAACUGAGACACGGUCCAGACUCCUACGGGAGGCAGCAGUGGGGAAUAUUGCACAAUGGGCGCAAGCCUGAUGCAGCCAUGCCACGUGUAUGAAGAAGGCCUUCGGGUUGUAAAGUACUUUCAGCGGGGAGGAAGGGAGUAAAGUUAAUACCUUUACUCAUUGACGCUACCCGCAGAAGAAGCACCGGCUAACUCCGUG